This 301-nucleotide ribosomal RNA is filed under the name uncultured bacterium. RNAcentral's name for it is "partial 16S ribosomal RNA". It matches the Rfam family "Bacterial small subunit ribosomal RNA", at positions 509 to 807 of the family's 1533-position model. The record is from RNAcentral.
CAGCCGCCGCGGUAAUACAGAGGGUGCGAGCGUUAAUCGGAUUUACUGGGCGUAAAGCGCACGCAGGCGGUCUGUCAAGUCAGAUGUGAAAUCCCCGGGCUUAACCUGGGAACUGCAUUUGAAACUGGCAGGCUAGAGUCUUGUAGAGGGGGGUAGAAUUCCAGGUGUAGCGGUGAAAUGCGUAGAGAUCUGGAGGAAUACCGGUGGCGAAGGCGGCCCCCUGGACAAAGACUGACGCUCAGGUGCGAAAGCGUGGGGAGCAAACAGGAUUAGAUACCCCUGUAGUCCCUGUCUCUUAUAC